ACGAUCCAGCCGAAGGACAUCCAGCUCGCUCGUCGUCUCCGUGGCGAGC
RNAcentral lists this unclassified non-coding RNA (49 nucleotides) under Rhodotorula toruloides. The record is from RNAcentral. Lineage: Eukaryota; Fungi; Basidiomycota; Microbotryomycetes; Sporidiobolales; Sporidiobolaceae.